UACAGAGGGUGCGAGCGUUGUCCGGAAUCAUUGGGCGUAAAGGGCGCGUAGGUGGCCCGACAAGUCGCUGGUGAAAGCUCGACGCUCAACGUCGAGUCGGCCAGUGAUACUGUUGGGCUGGAGCACUGUAGAGGCUCAUGGAAUUCCGGGUGUAGCGGUGGAAUGCGUAGAGAUCCGGAAGAACACCGGUGGCGAAGGCGGUGAGCUGGGCAGUUGCUGGCACUGAGGCGCGACAGCGUGGGGAGCAAACAGG
RNAcentral lists this ribosomal RNA (253 nucleotides) under uncultured bacterium. Its description in RNAcentral is "partial 16S ribosomal RNA". It matches the Rfam family "Bacterial small subunit ribosomal RNA", at positions 524 to 776 of the family's 1533-position model. The record is from RNAcentral.